CACGUCAGAGUGCUUUGCUGACGUGGACACAAAUUGCGCUUUAGAGGACGCGAUUUGUUGCCAUGUCAGCAAAGCGCUCUGACGUGG
Molecule: non-coding RNA, 87 nt
Organism: Gossypium hirsutum (cotton)
Lineage: Eukaryota; Viridiplantae; Streptophyta; Magnoliopsida; Malvales; Malvaceae
Source: Rfam